RNAcentral lists this ribosomal RNA (254 nucleotides) under uncultured bacterium. Its description in RNAcentral is "partial 16S ribosomal RNA". It matches the Rfam family "Bacterial small subunit ribosomal RNA", at positions 524 to 776 of the family's 1533-position model. The record is from RNAcentral.
UACGUAGGGGGCGAGCGUUGUCCGGAUUUAUUGGGCGUAAAGAGCGUGUAGGCGGCCAGGUAGGUCUGCUGUGAAAACUCGAGGCUCAACCUCGAGACGUCGGCGGAAACCAUCUGGCUAGAGUCCGGAAGAGGAGAGUGGAAUUCCUGGUGUAGCGGUGAAAUGCGCAGAUAUCAGGAAGAACACCCGUGGCGAAGGCGGCUCUCUGGGACGGUACUGACGCUGAGACGCGAAAGCGUGGGGGAGCGAACAGG